Molecule: unclassified non-coding RNA, 345 nt
Filed under: soil metagenome
Description: partial contains 5.8S ribosomal RNA, internal transcribed spacer 2, and large subunit ribosomal RNA
Rfam family: 5.8S ribosomal RNA (bases 1-120)
Source: RNAcentral
GAUGAAGAACGUAGCGAAAUGAGAUACGUAAUGUGAAUUGCAGAAUUCAGUGAAUCAUCGAGUCUUUGAACGCACAUUGCGCCCCCUGGUAUUCCGGGGGGCAUGCCUGUCCGAGCGUCAUUGCUGCCCUCAAGCACGGCUUGUGUGUUGGGCCUCCGUCCUCCUCCCGGGGGACGGGCCCGAAAGGCAGCGGCGGCACCGCGUCCGGUCCUCGAGCGUAUGGGGCUUCGUCACCCGCUCUUGUAGGCCCGGCCGGCGCUUGCCGACACAUCAAUCUUUUUUCCAGGUUGACCUCGGAUCAGGGAGGGAUACCCGCUGAACUUAAGCAUAUCAAUAAGCGGAGGA